This 445-nucleotide ribosomal RNA is filed under the name uncultured bacterium. Its description in RNAcentral is "bacterial SSU rRNA". It matches the Rfam family "Bacterial small subunit ribosomal RNA", at positions 29 to 523 of the family's 1533-position model. The record is from RNAcentral.
GUGAACGCUGGCGGCAGGCUUAACACAUGCAAGUCGAACGCACCGCAAGGUGAGUGGCAGACGGGUGAGUAACGCGUGGGAACCUUCCCUUUGGUUCAGGAUAGCUCCGGGAAACUGGAAUUAAUACUGGAUAAGAUCUACGGAUGAAAGAUUUAUCGCCGAAGGAUGGGCCCGCGUAAGAUUAGCUAGUUGGUGAGGUAAUGGCUCACCAAGGCAAUGAUCUUUAGCUGGUCUGAGAGGAUGAUCAGCCACACUGGAACUGAGACACGGUCCAGACUCCUACGGGAGGCAGCAGUGAGGAAUAUUGGACAAUGGGCGCAAGCCUGAUCCAGCCAUGCCGCGUGAGUGAUGAAGGCCUUAGGGUUGUAAAACUCUUUAGUAGGGAAGAUAAUGAUGGUACCUACAGAAAAAGCUCCGGCUAACUUCGUGCCAGCAGCCGCGGUAA